ACACACAGACACACGCAUACACACUAAAGGUCCCUGAGGAGAGCAGACCCUCUCUCUUUCAGCAUCUGUUAACUGCCUGUGGCUGCUCAUCUAGAUGCAGGCUCUUGUGAACUUGAUCCUCACCCAUGUCAGCAUGUUGACGGGUGUGGUCUUGUGCAGGUAACGUAUUGUUUAGAGUUCAUGAGUUUGACAGUUUUGUCCUGUCCAGAAGACACUUAUCAAGCAGACCCCGCAAUAAUGUGGUUUCAACAAGCUAAGGACAUGUUCGGUAAAUAUUCUGUUUCUUUUACACAAUUCUUCCCUCCAUCUUUGAACUCUGGAAUAACAGGCUCGCAGGGCAUCCGAGGGCCAUUCACGAUGGGAUCUCCUGUUCAGCUGCAGCUCACACCCCCAGGGCUCUGAAGCCGACCUCUCAGGGGACCUCAUAGCUGCACAAGAAGGAAUAGCCUUUGGUCUGCUGCCAAAUGGAGCGCAGCCCUCAAGGGCUGUCCCAAGUCCAAGGCAUUGCCCCAGAACUGGACUCGUGAGUGGAGGAGGCUGGCUUCUCCCGGCUUGGCAAAUUUCUCUCAUCUUUCCAAAGAACCCUGCCCAGGUCCUGCCAGACAUGCUGUGGUUCCCUCUUUCCUCAGGCAGUUUCUGUUCAUCAGUCAAGGCAUCUUGGAACAUGAAUUCAUUGCUUUGGGGACAUUUUCCCAAAAGGCUCCAGCCUGUACCACAUGUUCCAAGAUAAAACUAUUCUGUGUCCCAACCACUAAAACUUCAUGUAGUGCCACCCCAGCAGCUGUGGUUUGUUAGUUCCUUACUGAGGUGUCACUUGAGGUGAAAAAAAAUGGCUAUUCUAGCAAACACCAAAUGCAUUAUAGAAUUAGCUUUAACUGCCCUAAUUUGCAUGGUUUGAAGCUCUUUCAAAACCACGGGUCUGCAAGAAAAAGAAGCGAGGGUCGUGUCCGUGUGUUAAUGGCUUCUGCACGUGAUUCUCUGGGAAGAUGAAGAGUCUCCACACAAGGUUUUAGUAAAUUCUUUUUUUUCUUGUUAGGUGGUUUUGCAAAGUACAGCAAAUUUUGUGAAGGGCACAUCCAAGUCUGACCUUACUUCUCCGCUGAAAGUCAGGGCAAUCACUAGGUCAUAGCACAGGGUGAGACGAGGCUUGGCAGAUCGUCUCUCUGCCAAGGUCGGACUUAUCCCGCCGCAUGAUGUCGGCAGCGUGGGGUGGUGUACACCUGGAACUCCAGCCUCAGUCAGGGAGGAAGGGGGGAUCAGAACUUCCAGACCACCCUCAGCCAUAGCGUAAGUUCAAAGCCAGCCUGGGGUUCAUAAAGUCCUAUUUCAAAACAAAUAAACAAACAAACAAGACCACAGAAACCAGAGUGUGUGGGGGAGAGGAGUUUCUGAAAGAUAUUUUCCCUUACUUGGAACUCUGCAGGAAGGAAGUAAACUUGUUUUUCUUUCCAUGUGACUGAGAGAUGAGCCUGAAGUUGCCUGUUUAUUGAAAGUGUCCCUGGGGCUUUAGUCCUCCUCCCCAGGAGGACUCGGGCAGCGCUCCGGGAAAGGAGGUUUGAAACGUCUUCUGUUCAUGCCGUGCAGUCUGGGAACCUGUUCGCUUUUUCCUGUGAGGCAGUACAUGAGCUGACCAUGAGCCCUCUGGAGCUGUGAGCCCAAAUGAGCCUUUCCUCCUGUAAGGGGCUUAUCUAGCUCAUCAUUUGUCUCAGUGAUGGGACAUUGAUUGACACAUGACCGGGACAGUUGUGAGCACUGAGUACAGUGGUGAGGGGCUCCAUGUGCCGUAUCCACACAGAUUUCUCAGUCUGUAUCUUCCCAAUCGGCAUCUAAUGUUUGUAAAGAAACGUGUGCGGCAACUGGCCUCUGCUAUGGAUACCCACACAGGGGAACACUGGAGGCUGGCUGGUGAGAACGCCUGAGGUCGGAAUCCAGGUUCUAGAAUUUACCAGACUCCAGUGCUAGUUUACGCGCCCCCUGGUGACGGAGACACGUGCGCGAAGAGGUGUGGACCGCACUUAGUGGACUGACCCGCACGGGACCGGAAGGGACAUCUUCCCAUGCUAGAGACGGCCACUCCUCAGGAAGCAUCACAGAUGAGAACUGGAGACAGUCUGGGGACAGCGAAGGCGCCAUGCGCUUCCCUGUUCCCAUCUGUGCCACUGAGGCGGCACACAGCUGCAGACUGCGGUCCCACAAGUAGGCAAGCCGCGGCACGCGGCCAGCCAUUCAGAUGCAGUCAAGCACAUCUUAGCCACCGACCUCGGACACUUCUCUCUGCGUCUCCGAUGGUCUCUUCUGUAAAAAUAAACCUUUUCAACCUACAAAGUAAAACAAUAGAUUAUUUCCA
This is a long non-coding RNA of Mesocricetus auratus (golden hamster), 2347 nucleotides long. RefSeq lists it as uncharacterized. The record is from RefSeq and is a predicted model, not a curated record. NCBI's taxonomy places the organism in Eukaryota, Metazoa, Chordata, Mammalia, Rodentia, Cricetidae. The transcript is spliced from 2 exons.